CUUUUCCCCUCCCUCUUCCUUGCCUUGCCUGAAGGCGGCGCUAAGUGGUUGUCGUCAUCUCUACGCGCCGACGGUUGCUAAGAGAAUCGUCGGUUGCUAGUGCCGCAGGUCGCUACAAUGGACCAAUUCCUAAGUUGCCGAUUGAAUCCUCUCGGGAUCGCGUCUGCACUCCCCAGGCAGAUAAGGAAACUGAGACAAAUAAGAGUCACACAGUAUCUGAGACUAGAUAUGAACUCAAGAGGUCACACAGCUAGUGAGAGACCAGAUUUGAACUCAGGAAGAAGAGUUUUCCUUACUUCGGAACUGGCAUUCAACUCUGCCACCUCGCUGCUCUGUUUACUAAUAUUUAUUGUUAAUAGUACUAACAAAUACUAUCUAUAUUAAAUAUUACGAUUGUGGCAUUAA
Molecule: long non-coding RNA, 405 nt
Organism: Antechinus flavipes (yellow-footed antechinus)
Lineage: Eukaryota; Metazoa; Chordata; Mammalia; Dasyuromorphia; Dasyuridae
Exons: 2
Source: RefSeq, a predicted model, not a curated record